GCUCCAGUGACUCAGUGGUUAAAGCGUCCGUCUAGGAUACGGGAGGUCGUGGGUUCAAUCCUCGGUCGAGCC
This is a non-coding RNA of Potamilus streckersoni, 72 nucleotides long. The record is from the annotation of a GenBank genome assembly. NCBI's taxonomy places the organism in Eukaryota, Metazoa, Mollusca, Bivalvia, Unionida, Unionidae.